This 4822-nucleotide long non-coding RNA is filed under the name Homo sapiens (human). RNAcentral's name for it is "non-protein coding lnc-ALDH1L2-1:5". The record is from RNAcentral. Lineage: Eukaryota; Metazoa; Chordata; Mammalia; Primates; Hominidae.
GCGGCCGCCAUGGCGCCGGCAGUGCCAGCGGGCGUCUUGCGACCCGGCUCGGGCUUCGCCACCAUUCACUGUGCUUCUCAAGCCACUUCGGCACUCUAAUUUCGCCCUGCUCUCUCUAGACGAUUUUUAAUACCUGGGAAAGUUACUCCCCAGUCUAACCUAAAAAGGUAGAAUUGAUGGGGUGGGGAAUUAACAGGAAGGCAUGAUCCUCGAGGAUAACGCUGACCAGGCGCUUCUUCCAACAAGCCUGUUUCCCUCUCUGUCGCCACCGUAGGAGUUCCUACAGCUCUCCCGCACAUUCUGUACGGAUUGUUUUUUAGUCAAGACGUUCUGUGCGAGAGGAGAAGUUACUUUAUGAACACCCUAACAGGGGAUCUUACGACCUCUUCCCCGCUCUCCACUCAGUCCUUUUAAAAACGCGAGGCAGGAUGAAGAACGCUAUUGAAGUACAUUCUAAAAUGAUCCCACCUGCAAUUUGGAUUUUUGGAGAAUCGGGAUCGGUGUAAAAUUCUACAUGCAUACACGUAUUUGCACAAGAAUAUUUAUAGCAACGUGGUUUUUAAUAGGAAACUAUCUAAAUGUUCAUUACAAGUGAAUUACAUAAAGCUCAAUACAUCCAUACUACGAAUCACUGAAGAGCUGCUAAAAUAGAUGAAAUAUAUUUAUAAUGGCAUGAACAACCGACACAAGACAGUUGCAGAGUAAUGUGUAUUUGUGAUUACAUUUAUGUUUUUAAGUUAUACAAACGCGUAUGUGCCUACGUGUAUGUAAAUUCAUAGGAAGACAAAUCAGAGGACGGUGGUUACCUGGGGAAAAGCAUGUGUUGUCCUAGGGUAUAGCUUUGCAGGAGAGCUUGGCAGAGCCUGCCAAACCUGAUCAGCUUUUCCACCUCUCAGCUACUGCUUUCGGCUCCCCAGCCUCAUAAACUCUCAGCUGCCACAUUACAAAUCAGCAGAUGUCUUGAGGUGAAAUGUGGUGCCAAAUGUCAAGCUCAACUUUUUGGAUCAUCUCUCCUGAAUUUCAGUUCCUCGAAUCCUCACUGUCCUGGGUCUCCAAUGCCUUCAAAAAGGAUUUUAGCAAAAAAAGCAAAAAUGGAAAAAUUGGAUAACAUCAAACUUAAAAACUUCUGCAUGUUAAAGUAAAUAAUCAACACAGUGAAAAAGCAAGCUAUGGAAUGGGAGAAAACAAUUGCAAAUCAUAUGUCUGAUAAGGGAUUGAUUUCCACAAUAUGUAGAGAACUCUUACAACUCAACAACAACAAAACAAUUUAAAAAUUGGGCAAAGGAUCUGAAUAGACAUUUCUCCAAAGAAGAUAUACAAAUGGCCAAGAAGCAUAUGAAAAGAUGUUCAACAUCACUGUUAGAGAAGUGCAAAUCAAAAUCACAAUGAGGUAUUACCUCACACCCAUUAGGAUGGCCACUAUCAAUAAAACAAAAAAUAACAAGUAUUGGCAAGGAUGUGGAGAAAUUGGAACGCUUGUGCACUGCUGGUGGGACUGUAAGAUGAUGCAGUUGGUAUGAAAAACAGUAUGGAGGUUCCUUAAAAACCAAACAUAGAAUUACAGUAUGAUCCAACAAUCCCUCUCCUGGGUAUAUAUCUAAAAACAGGCUGGGCAUGGUGGCUCAUGCCUGUAAUUCCAGCACUUUGGGAGGCCAAGGUGGGUGGAUCAGUUGAGGUCAGGAGUUUGAGACCAGCCUGGCCAACAUGGUGAAAUCCCGUCUCUACUUAAAAUGGAAAAAUUAGCCAGGUGUGGUGGUACACACCUGUAAUUCCAGCUACUCGGGAGACUGAGGCAGGAAAAUUGCUUGAACCUAGGAGGCAGAAGUUGCAGUGAUUGGAGACCACGCCAUUGCACUGCAGCCUGGGCAACAAGAGCGAAACUCUGUCUCAAAAAAACAAACAAGAAACAUGGAAAGCAGGAUCUCAAGGAGAUAUUUGCACACUCAUAUUCACUGCAGCAUUAAUCACAAUAGCCAAGAGGCAGAAGCAGUCCAAAUGUCCAUAGAGGAAUGAAUGGAUUUUUUAAAAUGUGAUAUAUAUAUAUAUGUAUGUAUGUAUGUAUGUAUGUAUGUAUGUAUGUGAUGGGGUGCAGGAAAUACUACCCCAGCAGCUUCCAAUUGUGCUUACAAUAAUAUAGUCUCCCACUUGUCUGUAUGCUCUAUAAACAUCUAAACCUUAUCUCUUUGAUACAGUUCAGUGCCAAGUAUAAUGCUAGGUACAUAGAUGAUAAACAUGUAUUUGUUGAAUGAGUGAACCAAUAAUUGUCAUUUUUUUCAAGUGCUCUGUAGUAAAUACUCAGUUUACAGGAAAAGUAUUUCCUAAUAGUUCUUCAACAGAUGGCACUGUUUGUUAAGGAAUCUAAAGAUAAAAGAAAUCAUGUAAUAAAUGGCUUUUUUAGUUGUUCAUUUCUUCAACCAGUAUUUAAUCAGGACUUUCUCUGUUUGGUAUGUCACAGUGACCAAAACUCUUCAAAGAGCCCAAUUGUCUGGUAAGUGAAAUUUUUCAGAUGUUUUAACUUAGGGGUCAGCAAAGUACAGACAGCAGAUCAGUAAAUAAAGUAAAACUUUACUUACUUUUGUAAAUAAAAUAUCAGACUACAGCCAUGCCCAUUAAUUUACAUAUUUUACAUUAAACAUAAUUUACAUUUGUGUUUCAUCUAUGGCUGCUUCACACUAAAAUGGCAGUUGGGUAGUUAUAGCAGCAAUCAUAUGGCCCACAAGCCUAAAAUAUUUGUCACUUGGCCCUUUAAGAAAAAGUUUGUCAGCUGGGCAUGGUGACUCACUCCUGUAAUCCUAGCAGUUUGGAAAGCUAAAAUGAAAGGGUAGCUUGAGCCCAGGAGUUCAAGAACAGUCUGGGCAACAUAAUGAGACUUGGUCUCUAAAAAAAUUUGUUUUAAUUAGCUGGGUGUGGUGGCAUGCACCUAUAGCCCCAGCUACUUAGGAGGCUGAGGCGGGAGGAUCGCUCGAGCUCAGGAGUUCAAGGAUGCAGUGAGCUGUGAUUGCACCAGUGUACUCUACCCUCGGCAACAGAGUGAGACCCUGUCAAAAAAAGAAAAAAAAAAGAAAAAAAGAGGAAAAAAAGAAAGAAAGAAAGAACGAAAGAAGAAAGAGGAAGGAAGGAAAAGGAAGGAAAGAGAGGAAGGAAGGAGAAAAAGAAAAAAGGAAAGAAAGAAAAAGAAAAGAGAAAGAAAGAAGGAAAGAAGGAGAAAGAGGAAGGAAGGAAAGGUAGGAAGUUUGCUGAUUUAUCUGAACUCUAAAAGCAAAAUAAUAUAAAAAAAUUUUUUGCUGGCUUGACGCAGUAGCUCAUGCCUAUAAUCCCAGCACUUUGGGAGGCCGAGGCUGGUGGAUCAUGAGGUCAAGAGUUUGAGACCAUCCUGGCCAACAUGGUGAAACCCCAUCUCUACUAAAAAUACAAAAAUUAGCUGGGCGUGGUGGUGCGUGCCUGUAGUCCCAGCUACUCAGGAGGCUGAAGCAGGAAAAUCACUUGAACCUGGGAGACGGAGGUUGCAGUGAGUCAAGAUUGUGCCAUUGUACUCCAGCCUGGGGACAGAGCGAGACUCUGUCUCGAAAAAAAAGUUUUGCUAUAUAAGUUAUGUAAAGUAGGUUGAAAUAGUCUACUUUUAAAAGCAUAGACAUUUUUGAAAAUCUUCAUGUCAAAAUAAUUGAUAAGGACACUUCUAAUAAUGGAGGUAGCAUAAAGUGGUCAAGUGAACCCAUCUACAGUUAAUAACUAAGAAAAGUGGCCAAAAUAUCUAAAAAUGACUUUUUAAAAAUCUAAAACAAUAAAAGCAGGUAAAAACCACAGGAGAAUUUGUUCAGCAACUGAUAAGAAUUAUGAGUUUGUGGCUUUUUGUCUGAUGGUGUCCCUCACCACUGAAGCUCAGCACUGCAGGCUUACUUGCUCAAACUGUCAGCAAACUGAGUACAGGGUUUGUUAGAAGAGGUCAUCAGUUUGGGGAGUGACCUACAAAAUGUGUGAGAUCCAAAAUCUGGGUGUAAACUCUGCCCAAAUCACUGACUGACCACUAAAAUACAGACAGCCUGAUGAAAUAACAGGAGUCCCUGAAAAGCAGAACUGCACUCAGUGAAGUGUAUGAGUUUGCUGCUCUUUUGAAUGCAUAUAUUUCCCAACAGAGGUACACCUUGGGUAGCAGAAAGCUGAAGACUUAUUUGAGGUAACAGCGAAUAGAAGUAGAGCUGCCAAAGCAGUUUAGAAUUUAGAAGGAAAGACUGAUAAUUAGGGCAACUGCAGAUGGGUGUAACCCCCGCAAUCUAAGUAUAAACACUGGCCAAAUCCUUCACUAAACUAAGAACGAAGCAGAAUAUAAACUGCUUCACUCUACUAAGGAGACAGGGAGUCAGGGCAAGUUUACUUCAUUUAAAAACAAAUAGUCAAACAGGCAUGGUGGUUCACACCAGUAAUCUCAGCACUUUGGGAGCAGAGGUGGGAAGAUCACUUGAGCCCAGGAGUCAAAGACCAGACUGGGCAACAAAAUGAGACCCCGUCUCUACAAAAAAAUUUUAAAAAUUAGCCAGGUAGCCAGGUGUGGUGGUAUGCACCUGUGAUCCUAGCUACAUAGAAGACUGAGGCAGGAGAAUUGCUUCAAUCCAGGAGGUCAAAGCUGCAGUGAGCCAUGCUCCUGCCACUGCACUCUAGCCUGGGUGACAGAGAAAGAACUUGGCUCAAAGAAACAAACAACAAAAAAUGCCAGUCAAAUAAUUAUCUGAAGAAAAAAAUAGAAUCCAGAGUGGCCACAAUAUGUUACAUACAAUGUACAGUUUUAACCAAAAGCUUUAUAAGAAGAUAACAAAAUCUAGGCACU